AACGAACGCUGGCGGCAUGCCUAACACAUGCAGGUCGAACGAGACCUUCGGGUCUAGUGGCGCACGGGUGCGUAACGCGUGGGAACCUGCCCUUAGGUUCGGAAUAACUCCCCGAAAGGGGUGCUAAUACCGGAUAAUGUCUUCGGACCAAAGAUUUAUCGCCUUUGGAUGGGCCCGCGUUGGAUUAGCUAGUUGGUAGGGUAAAAGCCUACCAAGGCGACGAUCCAUAGCUGGUCUGAGAGGAUGAUCAGCCACACUGGGACUGAGACACGGCCCAGACUCCUACGGGAGGCAGCAGUGGGGAAUAUUGGACAAUGGGCGAAGGCCUGAUCCAGCAAUGCCGCGUGAGUGAUGAAGGCCUUAGGGUUGUAAAGCUCUUUUACCCGGGAUGAUAAUGACAGUACCGGGAGAAUAAGCUCCGGCUAACUCCGUG
This 433-nucleotide ribosomal RNA is filed under the name uncultured bacterium. RNAcentral's name for it is "partial 16S ribosomal RNA". It matches the Rfam family "Bacterial small subunit ribosomal RNA", at positions 29 to 507 of the family's 1533-position model. The record is from RNAcentral.